This is a non-coding RNA of Equus caballus (horse), 90 nucleotides long. NCBI's taxonomy places the organism in Eukaryota, Metazoa, Chordata, Mammalia, Perissodactyla, Equidae. The record is from Rfam.
UUGGCCACCUGGCUCUGAGAACUGAAUUCCAUAGGCUGUGAGCUCCAGCAAAUGCCCUAGGGACUCAGUUCUGGUGCCCGGCUGUGCUAC